Molecule: transfer RNA, 94 nt
Organism: Nomascus leucogenys (northern white-cheeked gibbon)
Lineage: Eukaryota; Metazoa; Chordata; Mammalia; Primates; Hylobatidae
Rfam family: tRNA
About the family: Transfer RNA (tRNA) molecules are approximately 80 nucleotides in length. Their secondary structure includes four short double-helical elements and three loops (D, anti-codon, and T loops). Further hydrogen bonds mediate the characteristic L-shaped molecular structure. tRNAs have two regions of fundamental functional importance: the anti-codon, which is responsible for specific mRNA codon recognition, and the 3' end, to which the tRNAs corresponding amino acid is attached (by aminoacyl-tRNA synthetases). tRNAs cope with the degeneracy of the genetic code in two manners: having more than one tRNA (with a specific anti-codon) for a particular amino acid; and 'wobble' base-pairing, i.e. permitting non-standard base-pairing at the 3rd anti-codon position.
Source: Rfam
GUUCCAGUGGCGCAAUCGGUUAGCGCGCGGUACUUAUACAACAGUAUAUGUGCGGGUGAUGCCGAGGUUGUGAGUUCGAGCCUCACCUGGAGCA